RNAcentral lists this ribosomal RNA (804 nucleotides) under Actinomycetales bacterium 26-14PB. RNAcentral describes it as "bacterial SSU rRNA". It matches the Rfam family "Bacterial small subunit ribosomal RNA", at positions 74 to 889 of the family's 1533-position model. Lineage: Bacteria; Bacillati; Actinomycetota; Actinomycetes; Actinomycetales. The record is from RNAcentral.
CCCAGCUUGCUGGGGGAUUAGUGGCGAACGGGUGAGUAACACGUGAGUAACCUGCCCUUAACUCUGGGAUAAGCCUGGGAAACUGGGUCUAAUACCGGAUAUGACUCCUCAUCGCAUGGUGGGGGGUGGAAAGCUUUAUUGUGGUUUUGGAUGGACUCGCGGCCUAUCAGCUUGUUGGUGAGGUAAUGGCUCACCAAGGCGACGACGGGUAGCCGGCCUGAGAGGGUGACCGGCCACACUGGGACUGAGACACGGCCCAGACUCCUACGGGAGGCAGCAGUGGGGAAUAUUGCACAAUGGGCGCAAGCCUGAUGCAGCGACGCCGCGUGAGGGAUGACGGCCUUCGGGUUGUAAACCUCUUUCAGUAGGGAAGAAGCGAAAGUGACGGUACCUGCAGAAGAAGCGCCGGCUAACUACGUGCCAGCAGCCGCGGUAAUACGUAGGGCGCAAGCGUUAUCCGGAAUUAUUGGGCGUAAAGAGCUCGUAGGCGGUUUGUCGCGUCUGCCGUGAAAGUCCGGGGCUCAACUCCGGAUCUGCGGUGGGUACGGGCAGACUAGAGUGAUGUAGGGGAGACUGGAAUUCCUGGUGUAGCGGUGAAAUGCGCAGAUAUCAGGAGGAACACCGAUGGCGAAGGCAGGUCUCUGGGCAUUAACUGACGCUGAGGAGCGAAAGCAUGGGGAGCGAACAGGAUUAGAUACCCUGGUAGUCCAUGCCGUAAACGUUGGGCACUAGGUGUGGGGGACAUUCCACGUUUUCCGUACCGUAGCUAACGCAUUAAGUGCCCCGCCUGGGGAGUACGGCCGC